RNAcentral lists this ribosomal RNA (247 nucleotides) under uncultured bacterium. RNAcentral describes it as "partial 16S ribosomal RNA". It matches the Rfam family "Bacterial small subunit ribosomal RNA", at positions 566 to 800 of the family's 1533-position model. The record is from RNAcentral.
AUUCCCUACGGGACGCAGCAGACGGCAAUGCAAGCCAGGAGUGAAAGCCCGGGGCCCAACCCCGGGACUGCUCUUGGAACUGCAUGGCUGGAGUACAGGAGGGGCAGGCGGAAUUCCUAGUGUAGCGGUGAAAUGCGUAGAUAUUAGGAGGAACACCGGUGGCGAAGGCGGCCUGCUGGACUGUGACUGACGUUGAGGCCCGAAGGCGUUGGGAGCAAACAGGAUUAGAUACCCGUGUAGUCCCCGU